This 1077-nucleotide long non-coding RNA is filed under the name Lactuca sativa (garden lettuce). RNAcentral's name for it is "long non-coding RNA (LSAT_LNC002163)". The record is from RNAcentral. Lineage: Eukaryota; Viridiplantae; Streptophyta; Magnoliopsida; Asterales; Asteraceae.
UGAGUGUAUACUACCUUUCACAAACACGAUAAUAAUACAAGUAGGGUUCGAGUGUAUUAAGUAUAUUGCUGUUUAUACGUGUGAGUGUGUAGUUACUUUCUUCUGACACAUAAAUAUUAAGUAUUUUCUAUAAAAUAUGUGCUAUGUGUAUGAGAUAAAGUUGUUUAUAUGUGUGGGUGUAACACGGGUAUAAUACAAGUAUUGUUUGAAUGUAUGACGUAUAUGUUUAGGAGAGUGAGUGGUUACUUCCUUCCAACACAUAAAUAUGAAGUAUUUGUUAUAAAAUACGUGCUAUGUGUUUAUAUAUUGUUAUUUAUUUGAGAUGAGUAUGGAAUGAAUGUCUUAUAUAGUUUUUAAAUGAGUUAAACUGUAUAUGUAUUCCAUAUCUACAAAUAUGUUGGGUAGAACAUGGGUAGAUGAGAUAGUUGGUAUGUGAUAGAUUGAUGAUGUAUGUAAGAUGAUCAAGAAUGAUAUUGGCAGAUGCACCAAUUAGAGAAUGUCAUAAUACUAGCAGAUGCGCUCAAGCAUAGUAUUGGUAGAUGCACCAAAGAGAAAGUGUCAUAAUACUAGUAGAUGUACUUAAUGUAUAGUAUUGGUAGAUGCACCAAGUAGUGAAUGUCGUGAUCUUGGCAGAUGCGCCAAAUAGAGAUUGUCAUAACAAUAGCAGAUGCGCUUAUAGGAUAAUCUUGGCAGAUGCGCUUAUAAGAUAAUGUCGGCAGAUGUGCCUAAAAGAGAAUGUCAUAAACCUGGCAGUCGCGCCUCAUAGUGUAUGACGUAAUCCUGGCAGAGGCGCUUAAAGGAUAAUGUUGGCAGAUGCGCCUUAUGUAGCAAUGGAAGUUUGUGUAAAUUCCUUAGGUCAAUCCUUAGGAAUGAAGGAAUGACGAGUAGUUGAAUUCCUAGGGUAAAAUCCUAAGAAACAUAAUAGGGAUGAGUAAUUGAGUUGAUUGUUUGAUGGUUGAAUAUAAUAAUUGUAUUAUUGUGGGUUGAAAACCCUAUAUGCUCACCAGGCUCCCAAGCCUGACCCACUCAGUUUUCUUUGCAUUACAGGUAAUGGCACAAGAGUAUAAGUUGGUGGAC